AGGACCCUACGGGAGGCAGCAGUGAGGAAUAUUGGUCAAUGGGCGGGAGCCUGAACCAGCCAAGCCGCGUGAGGGAAGAAGGUACAGCGUAUCGUAAACCUCUUUUGUCAGGGAACAAAGGCGGGGACUAGUCCCCGGAUGAGGGUACCUGAAGAAAAAGCAUCGGCUAACUCCGUGCCAGCAGCCGCGGUAAUACGGAGGAUGCGAGCGUUAUCCGGAUUUAUUGGGUUUAAAGGGUGCGUAGGCGGUCCGUUAAGUCAGCGGUAAAAUUGCGGGGCUCAACCCUGUCGAGCCGUUGAAACUGG
Molecule: ribosomal RNA, 305 nt
Filed under: uncultured bacterium
Lineage: Bacteria
Description: bacterial SSU rRNA
Rfam family: Bacterial small subunit ribosomal RNA
Source: RNAcentral